AAGCGUUGUCCGGAAUUAUUGGGCGUAAAGAGCUCGCAGGCGGUUUGUCGCGUCUGCUGUGAAAACCUAAGGCUCAACCUUGGGCUUGCAGUGGGUACGGGCAGACUAGAGUGCGGUAGGGGUGACUGGAAUUCCUGGUGUAGCGGUGGAAUGCGCAGAUAUCAGGAGGAACACCGAUGGCGAAGGCAGGUCACUGGGCCGCAACUGACGCUGAGGAGCGAAAGCAUGGGGAGCGAACAGG
This 241-nucleotide ribosomal RNA is filed under the name uncultured bacterium. RNAcentral's name for it is "partial 16S ribosomal RNA". It matches the Rfam family "Bacterial small subunit ribosomal RNA", at positions 536 to 776 of the family's 1533-position model. The record is from RNAcentral.